Molecule: ribosomal RNA, 1980 nt
Filed under: Triticum aestivum (bread wheat)
Lineage: Eukaryota; Viridiplantae; Streptophyta; Magnoliopsida; Poales; Poaceae
Description: partial small subunit ribosomal RNA
Source: RNAcentral
AUGCACCACUUCUUCCUCUUCCUCAUUUUCUUGCUUCCCCAUGAAACCAGCUACUCGGCCGCCGCAGCUUCCGGCAGCGGUAGCCAGUGCAGCCGGCGGUGCGGCAGCACCGCCGUCCCCUACCCUUUUGGCUUCUCCGCCGGCUGUCCCAUCCCGCUGUUCUGCGACGCCAGCAUAUCCACGCUGAUCCUCCCAUACAUAGGAAAGAACGGCACAACGUACCGCGUGAUAGCCUUCAACUCCACCACCUCCACCGUCGUUGUCGGUCUCCCGCCGUCAUGCAGCCGCAGCGUCCCCGAGGCCAGGAGGGAGCUCUCCGGGGGCAACUACGGUGUGUCGUCUCGCACCUGGAUGUUCCUCCGUGGUGGCUGCAGGGAGAUCAACGCGUCGGUGGGCGUUGGAUGCAGCGUGCCCGUGGACGUCAUGUCCAGGCUGCUCCGCACGGCGCAGUGCGACGGCCUCAGCAACGAAACCUCUGUGGUGUGCGUCGCUUCCACCGCGGCGGAACAGUUUCUGCGGUGGGAGAAGGUCGAGAAGCAACAGUGCGAUGACGUGCUGACCUCCGCAGUAAUCGUGGACACGGCGGAGGGGACGGUGUCGCUGGAGUACGGGCUGGCAGAGCUGGGGUGGUGGCUCAACGGCACGUGCACCGGCGGCAGCGAGCGUUGCGCGGCGAACGCGACGUGCAUCGGUGUGAAAACACCAAGCGGGGAGAUGGGGCACAGGUGCGCGUGCGUGGCAGGGAUGGUUGGCGACGGGUUCCUGGCUGGAGACGGAUGCUACCUCGCACAUGCGUCUCGGUCGAAGCAUAGAAGAAAGCUAGUAGCGGUGUUGGCGUCUGUUGUUUCCGUCGUGUUCCUACUUUCUCUCUCCAUAGCGGCUUCCUUUCUCUUACCCCGCUGCCGAAGACGCAAUACCAUGAAGAAAACCAAACUAGCGUUGAAACUAGGGACAACAUUCUUUCGUGGUGAACUUGUCGACGACGAACUCGACCAAGGAGUUGAGGGCCCCCGACGAUUUUCUUACAACGAGCUUGCAUCCGCGACCGACAAUUUCUCUGAUGAUAGAGCGCUCGGGAGAGGAGGCUUUGGGUCUGUGUACCAAGGUUUUAUGAGCAACAUAAACUACGAAGUGGCUGUCAAGAGGGUCUAUGAGACUUCUCGACAGGGCUGGAAGGAGUUCGUCUCUGAGGUGCAGAUCAUUAGUCGUCUUAGGCACCGCAAUCUUGUGCAACUUAUCGGUUGGUGCCAUGGCGGUGACGAGCUCCUCCUUGUCUACGAGCUGAUGCACAAUGGCAGCCUCGAUACUCAUUUGUACAGAUCUGACUGCGUGCUGGCAUGGCCUGUUAGGUAUGAGAUAGUGCUCGGUGUAGGUUCGGCGCUUCUAUACCUACAUCAAGACACAAAACAGCGGGUCGUGCACAGGGACAUCAAGCCAAGCAACAUCAUGUUGGACGCGUCCUUCACCGCCAAACUCGGUGACUUUGGGCUCGCAAGGCUCAUCAACGACGGCCGGAGAUCGCACACGACCGGCAUAGCCGGCACGAUGGGGUACAUUGAUCCGGAGAGCUUGCUGGCCGGCAGGGCGAGCGUCGAGUCGGAUGUGUACAGCUUUGGAAUUGUCCUCCUUGAGGUAGCCUCUGGGCAGCGGCCAGCUCUAGUCCAGGAAGACGGUGACGUCGUCCACCUGGUGCAGUGGGUGUGGGACUUGUAUGGCAAAGGAUCAAUUCUAGACGCUGCCGAUGAGCGGUUUAGAGGGGAGUUCGACGGCAGAGAGAUUGAACAUGUUAUGGUCGUGGGGCUCUGGUGCGCGCACCCUGACCGUGGCAUGCGGCCAUCCAUCAGGCAAGCGAUGAAUGUGUUGCGGUUCGAAACACCAUUGCCGAGCCUCCCGGCAAGAAUGCCGGUGGCGACCUACGGGCCACCGACUAAUCCUUUGAGUUCCGGGACUUCUGUGCUGAGCAGCAUCAGUGGCCGGUGA